UACAGAGGGUGCGAGCGUUGUUCGGAAUUAUUGGGCGUAAAGCGCUUGUAGGCGGCUUGUUAAGUUCCGUGUGAAAUCCCCAGGCUUAACCUGGGAAGUGCGCGGAAAACUGGCGAGCUUGAGUGCCGGAGAGGGUCGCGGAAUUCCCGGUGUAGAGGUGAAAUUCGUAGAUAUCGGGAGGAACACCAGUGGCGAAGGCGGCGACCUGGACGGA
Molecule: ribosomal RNA, 214 nt
Filed under: uncultured bacterium
Lineage: Bacteria
Description: partial 16S ribosomal RNA
Rfam family: Bacterial small subunit ribosomal RNA
Source: RNAcentral